CAAUUCUUAGAUUUGUGUGUAACGUUUUCAGAAAAGAGGCAAUGUUUUGAAAACGUGUGUAACAUGCAGCUGGCCACUGUUUGUGUUAGUUCCAGUAGGUGGCGCCGUGCGUGUCACAGUGAUGUACCUUCAUGACGCUGACGGGAUGGUGUCAGCCGCUCGGCUCACAUGCGUCCCAGACAGAGGAACGUUUCCCACGUUCUCCUGGCAUCUGAACCAUUCCUCCCUUCCAGCAGAGGGCGCUCACGCGGUCACUCAUCAAGGUCAGAUCUUGAUCCUCACAGAAGUCAGUGCUGGGUUUUACGGCUGCAGGGCGAGGGACAGUUUUAACGACAGCUCACUCUGGGUGAAGAGCGAGGACAUCUUUAUUCAGAAGAGAGAUUUGUCGGCGACACCCAUGGAGGUCAUUGCAUUGGUUUUCUGUGGUUUCCUGUCGAUUGUGAUUGUGUUUUGCUCGUUCUUUAUGUUCUGGUGCUCCAAGCGCAGAAACAACACCUGCAAACAUCACAGUAACCAGGACGUGAUCCAGUCUGAGAUGACAACAAUGGACGCUCCUGUAGUUUCCUCUGAACCUCAACCUGAGGAAAUGAAAACCGUCAUCAUGGAGUUUGAUUCCUAAAGAUCCAGACCAGACCUGGAGCCAGUGUCCUGCAGAGACGUCUCAGAGAUCCUGAACUCUUUGAUUAGCUGGUUCAGAUGUGUUUAGUUAAGCUCAAAGACGAACUCUGACUGGACAUCCAUCACUACUGUGCCAUUUUAUGUUUUCUAUCAAUGAGAUUGUAAGGCUUUUAUAUAGCUACCAAAUAAAUGUUUCAUUUACCAAAUGCUUUCUACUGGAUACUGAUUCCCAACACAAACAUCUCUCUUAAGACAGCUUUUAUAUUUACUUAUAUAGUUAUGUUCAUAUUUUGUAGUUUAAAUCUAAUCCUUUAAAAAGUGGCUGUCAUAAAAACAUAAAUAAUGUUAAAUAAUGAUGCCGUUGCGUAAAAAAUAUUGAAUAUCGAGUUCAUGCUCAUAUAAGGGGUUUUACUUACCUCUUUACGCGGUUGAAACACUGAUUGAACGAUUACAUUAGACAUGAUUUAAUUCAGUGAGAUGUUCGGUUUCUUCCAACAUAACUUCUGAUGAUCAUUCAUGUUUAUUUUGUGCCAUAACUAGUAGUAAAGAGGAAGAGGUGAUGAUCGGCCACAGCGAUCUCAAGCCAAAAUGGCAUUUGACUGAAUUUAAAAGGAUUUUGAAUCUUGAGAUUUAAGAAUUGAUAUUAAGAUCACAUAAAUAAAGUAAGUUUAAUCAAUUAACUUAUAUAAGAGUCAACCAAGCCGCAGUCUAUGGUGGGAUAUUUCACCACUUUACUUUUGUGCUGUUGCUAAACUCUAAACUAAGUUUUAAUAAUAUGCCAAAAAGAGACUAAUUUGGUGUUUUUGCCAGUUUUGUUGGUGCAUAAAAUAAAAAAAGGCACGUUUUGUCCAGCAUAGAUACCUGAACAAACCUGGAUGAAUCUGAAAAAUAAAACAAAAAACUAAAUUAUAUAAUAUAAAUGUCGUUUAUCUCACUAUAAAACUGACUGAGCUUUACCAAAUGUCUUUGUAUGACAGACAUCAAAGAAAACAGACACAUGCUCAGGCUGCACUGGUGCAUUAACACAUGUGUAUUGAUGAUAUUAGUGCAGUACUUUGCUCAUUUAUGUAGAUGUUCUCUACGAUCCUCCGUGUCGUUUGCGCUGGCUUCUGUCCUAUCUGUCCUCAACACUUGUGCUGUUU
Long non-coding RNA from Carassius auratus (goldfish), 1760 nucleotides. The record is from Ensembl. Lineage: Eukaryota; Metazoa; Chordata; Actinopteri; Cypriniformes; Cyprinidae.